RNAcentral lists this transfer RNA (67 nucleotides) under Krisna nigromarginata. RNAcentral's name for it is "tRNA-Met". Lineage: Eukaryota; Metazoa; Arthropoda; Insecta; Hemiptera; Cicadellidae. The record is from RNAcentral.
GAAAAGAUAAGCUAAAAUUAAGCUAUUAGGUUCAUACCCUAAUUAUAGAUCUAAAAUCUUCUUUUUA